RNAcentral lists this long non-coding RNA (1557 nucleotides) under Schizosaccharomyces pombe (fission yeast). The record is from RNAcentral. Lineage: Eukaryota; Fungi; Ascomycota; Schizosaccharomycetes; Schizosaccharomycetales; Schizosaccharomycetaceae.
UUAAAGGUAAACAUUUAAUGGCUUACUUCAUCAGUUGAUCAACUACCCAGUCGACUGAUAAUGUACGAAGAUCACUGUAAGUUUGUCCAAUGCCUACGAAUAUGAUAGGUACCCUUACCGCGUAUACCAUGCCAACCAUAACACCAACUAGCUGACCCACAGUAUCAACUUUAGAAAUAAUAAAACCAUCCAAUGGGCGAUGAUAAAGGGAAGCUUGGAAAUGUUUUGCUUGUGCUAAGGAAUCUGUUCCUACUAAUGCUUCUGCCACUUGAAAAAUUUUAUCCAGCUUAGUAGCUUUAGUAAACUGUUAUGUUAGUUCAAAGUUCAAACAAUUCUAUCUUAGUAGAAGACUCAAUACUUAAUCAAUUUUGUAAGUAAUUACCUUUUCCAAUGAUCCCAUAAGCCUUUGAUCGUUAUGUCUCCGGCCAGCAGUAUCAAUUAAUAUAACAUCAAAACUAUUUUGCUUGGCAUACUCAACAGCGUUCUUAACAACAAAGCUCGAGUCUUUACCAUAUCCCUGUGCAAAUAAUUCAAUGGAGCUACCCUUCAAACUUUGGAGAUUUUUCACAUGUACUCCGAGUUGUUCAAUUGCACCCGAGCGAAAAGUAUCGCAGGCAGCAACUAAGAUUCGAAAGUUGUUAGAUAAAAGCCAAUACGCUAUUUUAGCCAAUGUUGUAGAUUUUCCAACACCAUUGACGCCAAUGAGAGAAAUGGUAUACGGACGGUUUUCGUUUUUGCGUACAGAACGAAUACUAUGCAAAAGGUCCAAAGAUGUACUUGGGGUGAGUAUUUGAGUAAGCCUAUCCCGAAAGGCCUUGUUUACUGUGUUUUUCACAGUAUCAAACGAACCAACUUUUUUGUUUAUCAACGAAGCCUUCACAGAUUCACAAAGCUCCAGAGCUAUAGAAUUUGCGACAUUCUUUUUUGUUAAAUGUUCUUGCAUUUGCUUUAAAAUUGGACUAAGAUCCUCCUCCUUCAAGUAUUUCCCACCUAUUAAGUUGGAGAAAAGGGAAAACGCAGAAGAUGCAGAUUUAUUGGAAAUUGUUUGAUUGGGAUCCAUUUCCAAAUCACUUAUAAUAACAUCACCACUACCAGUCUUUUGAAACUUAUUAUUAUUACCCACAAUAGAAGAAAGUUGGGAAUUAUCGACUGUUUGGGAAGCAGAAGAUGCUUGACUAGAAUAGUUCAAUGCAGCCUGUUCUUCCUCAGUUAUUUGAUCAUCCCAUUUUCUGAGUUGCUUCUUUCCUUUUUUAGGGGCAUUUGUUUGCUUGGAUUGAGCGCCUUUUUUCUUCAUUUCAUAUUCAUUUUUCUUUCUUGCUGAGUUAUCAUUAUUAGCCUCAACAGGUAAAGAUUUCGUGUCUGUUUCAUUCUCCAGUUGUGCUGAUUUACGAUUAAAAAUGGGAGCGAACAGUUUUUCAACUUCUGCUUCAUUAGGAACUUGACGAUCUUCUAAUUUUUCUUUAAAUAGAUUCAGAAAUAUAUUAUGAGCACUAUUAAGCAGUGAUUGAGAAUAUGCCAUACAUUUCAAAUCUUGAAACACAACCUAAAAAUUCAACC